RNAcentral lists this microRNA (23 nucleotides) under Branchiostoma floridae (Florida lancelet). RNAcentral's name for it is "bfl-miR-4892". Lineage: Eukaryota; Metazoa; Chordata; Leptocardii; Amphioxiformes; Branchiostomatidae. The record is from miRBase by way of RNAcentral.
UUAGGAUAGAAGCACAUUUUGGA